AAAGUGCGAUAACUAAUGUGAAUUGCAUAACUUUGUGAAUCAUCGAGUCUUUGAACGCAUCUUGCGCUCUUUGGUCCUCCAAAGAGCAUGCCUGUUUGAGUAUCAAAAACACUUAUCCUACACACACUUGCGUGUUGUUGUUAGGGAUUUGAGACUGCAGCCUCGCCGGUCGCGUCUUAAAAUAUAGGUGCUUCUGUUACUGGGUCAGGCUAAGCUUUCCCCGGUGUGGUGGUAGAGCCUUGGCUCUCUUAUUCAACACUUACGGGAGCUUGGCACCUAGCUUUAGUUAACAUUCAAGGAAGCGACCACCAGUUAAAGCCUAGCCAGUCGGCUUGCGCUUUGAACUUGAUCUCAAAUCAGGCAAGACUACCCGCUGAACUUAA
This 383-nucleotide unclassified non-coding RNA is filed under the name uncultured fungus. RNAcentral describes it as "sequence contains ITS1". The stretch from base 1 to 105 matches the Rfam family "5.8S ribosomal RNA", at positions 50 to 154 of the family's 154-position model. Lineage: Eukaryota; Fungi. The record is from RNAcentral.